CCGCGCCGCAUUAGCUAGUUGGUAAGGUAACGGCUUACCAAGGCAACGAUGCGUAGCCGACCUGAGAGGGUGAUCGGCCACACUGGAACUGAGACACGGUCCAGACUCCUACGGGAGGCAGCAGUAGGGAAUCUUCCGCAAUGGGCGAAAGCCUGACGGAGCAACGCCGCGUGAGUGAAGAAGGUCUUCGGAUCGUAAAACUCUGUUAUUAGGGAAGAACAAAUGUGUAAGUAACUAUGCACGUCUUGACGGUACCUAAUCAGAAAGCCACGGCUAACUACGUGCCAGCAGCCGCGGUAAUACGUAGGUGGCAAGCGUUAUCCGGAAUUAUUGGGCGUAAAGCGCGCGUAGGCGGUUUUUUAAGUCUGAUGUGAAAGCCCACGGCUCAACCGUGGAGGGUCAUUGGAAACUGGAAAACUUGAGUGCAGAAGAGGAAAGUGGAAUUCCAUGUGUAGCGGUGAAAUGCGCAGAGAUAUGGAGGAACAUCCAGUGGCGAAAGCGACUUUCUGGUCUGUAACUGACGCUGAUGUGCGAAAGCGUGGGGAUCAACAGGAUUAGAUACCCUGGUAGUCCACGUCGUAACGAUGAGUGCUAGUGUUAGGGGGUUUCCGCCCUAGUGCUGCAGCUACGCAUA
Molecule: ribosomal RNA, 634 nt
Filed under: Staphylococcus capitis
Lineage: Bacteria; Bacillati; Bacillota; Bacilli; Caryophanales; Staphylococcaceae
Description: bacterial SSU rRNA
Rfam family: Bacterial small subunit ribosomal RNA
Source: RNAcentral